UUAUGGGCCCAGCAAGUCAAGAACAAAUUAAUAUGUAGACAGGGACAAAAAUGUCAGUUUUAUGAUGGAUGAAGGCUAUAAUGGAGCCGAUGGCUUAGGUCCACAAGCAAACAGGCUUGCUGAGGUCCUGCUCCCAUCACUUUUACCCCCUGCAUGUCCCCUCUCCCUUUCAGUCCAAGCCUUGGGGACAUUCUGCAAGAGCGUUUAGUUCUUCAUAACCUCAUAAUGGUCAGAGCCAGAGAAGGGAGUUAAAAGACCGGUUCCUCAAUCUCGUAACCUUUUAAGAGACGGGCUCCACUUGACUUAAAAAUGUGGACCAGUGCUGUCCCCACCACGUAGGUAACACAUCUUUCUUUCACAUCCUCUGGGGGAGUAAGUCUGGAAAGGAUGGGGCAGCCAGAAAAGAACUGAGGUAAUCCAAAAGAAAGUAUUUGGGGACUUCCAGAAGAUUCUCGAGCCAACAAAAAUAUACCCCAAUGCCAAAGCACUCCCUCACUAAAGUCAAUAUGUGAAAAUGUGAAUAUUAUUUUGGAUGCCGUUGUGCUAACCCCAGUGUGUUAAGAACUUCUACGUAUCGUCCUGACAAUGUCCGCGCUUUGAUAACCAAAUCAGAAAAAAAAGAGCGCAGAAACACGUAAUCAUAGAAACCACUAGAUGGAUGCAUAACGCCGGCAGUAGUCUUAAAACACCCCCAAGAAAUGUUGUUCUCAAGUGUGGUUCUCAGCUAACUGUUCCUGCAGGAGGAAAGGAAGACACAAGCUGAUGUACACACACGUUUAGGUCUGUUAUUUCAACGACACGGAUUUGAAUUUGUUGAAAUAUCUUCCAUUGUCCACCAGUCCCCAAAGAAAACAGGAAAACAGGGACCCAGGUUGGCACUCCACCUCAUUUGGCCUAUGCUUUUGUGAAAUCAUAGACUUUUCGAGCUGGAAAAUUCACAGGGUCGCUUUGCUCUGUUUUUCAUUUUGUAGAGAAGAAACUUGAGGCCGAGAAGCACUCUGUGUGCUCAGGCCUCAGAGCUCCUUAGGAGCACGACCCAGGCUCUUUCUUGGGCUGCUGGAAACUGAAUGCUUCUGCAGCACCUUAACAUCGUAUGAAUAACUUGUAAAAUGUAUACAUACAUGGAGCAUGGGUGCCGUAGAAAAGAUCAUCUAUAUCCUAGUACCCAAAUAAAUCAUUGUUUUCAUCUUUU
Neofelis nebulosa (Clouded leopard) is the source of this 1192-nucleotide long non-coding RNA. RefSeq lists it as uncharacterized. NCBI's taxonomy places the organism in Eukaryota, Metazoa, Chordata, Mammalia, Carnivora, Felidae. The transcript is spliced from 3 exons. The record is from RefSeq and is a predicted model, not a curated record.